UGACAUUAGCAACCCACUUCUCCAACUCCUCCUCGACCUGCUGCUCCGACUCUCCGGAGCCAUCAAGCUCCAUCCCGCUCCUCACCUUCCGCUUCAAAUCCUCCAAGGUAUCAAUGUCGAACGCGUACAUGCCCGCGCCGACGCCAAUCAUUGCAACGCUAGCAACAUUUAUCGUUGCGAUGUUGAGUGCUUCGAGAGCCUCGAGGCCUCCGUUAGCGGACGGCCGGUGGAAGGGGGCGCUGGUGUAGGUGGGCGGGAGUGUGCUGAUGCGCUUGCGCAGAAAGGCGCGGCGGGUUAUGAGGGAUGACAAGGCGAGGAAAACGGUGCCACCGAGAAGGAGUUUUGUGGAGUUUGGGAUGAGGGGCUUUUUGGAAGGUUGGAGUGCCUCUGCUUGUGAUGUUGGUGGAUCUUGGCCGGUGGUGCCAGCCAUUGUUGAUACCAGUGGCGGAGGCAGUGGUGGUGACGAUGAUGACGGACCCGGGAUAUAUGAUGCGAAGCAGACGGAUGACAUAUGCUUUCGUUCACGUCGGUUUCAUCAUCAUCAUCGCCGUGUUCUUC
Molecule: small RNA, 558 nt
Filed under: Histoplasma ohiense
Lineage: Eukaryota; Fungi; Ascomycota; Eurotiomycetes; Onygenales; Ajellomycetaceae
Description: hypothetical lncRNA
Source: RNAcentral